Molecule: ribosomal RNA, 253 nt
Filed under: uncultured bacterium
Lineage: Bacteria
Description: partial 16S ribosomal RNA
Rfam family: Bacterial small subunit ribosomal RNA
Source: RNAcentral
UACGUAGGGUGCGAGCGUUAAUCGGAAUUACUGGGCGUAAAGUGUGCGCAGGCGGCUUCGCAAGUCGAGUGUGAAAUCCCCGAGCUUAACUUGGGAAUUGCGCUCGAAACUACGGAGCUGGAGUGUGGCAGAGGAAGGUGGAAUUCCACGUGUAGCGGUGAAAUGCGUAGAGAUGUGGAGGAACACCGAUGGCGAAGGCAGCCUUCUGGGCCAACACUGACACUGAGAGACGAAAGCUAGGGGAGCGAAUGGG